CGGUCAACAAAGAGAGGCGAAACCGCGAGGUGGAGCAAAUCUCAAAAAGCCGUCCCAGUUCGGAUCGCAGGCUGCAACCCGCCUGCGUGAAGUUGGAAUCGCUAGUAAUCGCGGAUCAGCAUGCCGCGGUGAAUACGUUCCCGGGCCUUGUACACACCGCCCGUCACACCAUGAGAGUCGGGAACACCCGAAGUCCGUAGCCUAACCGCAAGGGGGGCGCGGCCGAAGGUGGGUUCGAUAAUUGGGGUGAAGUCGUAACAAGGUAGC
RNAcentral lists this ribosomal RNA (267 nucleotides) under uncultured bacterium. RNAcentral describes it as "partial 16S ribosomal RNA". It matches the Rfam family "Bacterial small subunit ribosomal RNA", at positions 1234 to 1500 of the family's 1533-position model. The record is from RNAcentral.